Molecule: long non-coding RNA, 1556 nt
Filed under: Mytilus galloprovincialis (Mediterranean mussel)
Lineage: Eukaryota; Metazoa; Mollusca; Bivalvia; Mytilida; Mytilidae
Source: RNAcentral
UUAAAGUAGAAUAAUGAAGUAAUGACCUGCAAUUAGCAAGUAGAUAUAGGAAGAUGUGGUGUGAGUGCCAAUGAGACAACUCUCCAUCCAAAUAACAAUUUAUAAAAGUAAACCAUUAUAGGUCAAUGAACGUCCUUCAACAUAGAGCCUUGGCUCACACUGAACAACAAGCUAUAAAGGGCCCCAAAAUUACUAGUGUAAAACCAUUCAAACGGGAAAACCAACGGGUAGCAGUCUGUUUAGUUAAAUUUUGUAAAAAUGAGCUAAAAACUUUGCAUAUUUAUUAUUUUUUUCCAAGACUAUAAUUUAACCUCAUUUUGGUCUGUAUGCAUGCAACAUUUAAUAGGUACCAUUGUAGUAGAAGGUUGCUCAGCUUGGUCAGAUAAUAAAAAGAACAGAAUGUCAAAAUAAAAAAAUGAAACAAGGGAGCCACCGCACACAACAGGUUUGGUGACUGGUUUUUCCAACAAAAAUAUGAAUCUUAUACAAAAUUGAAAAUAAUGUCAGAGACAACAACCCAACCAAAGAGCAGAAAACAGCCGAAGGCCACUAAUGGCUCUUCAACUCAACCAGAAAAUUCAGCAUCAGGAGGCAGGCUUCAGCAGGCCCUACACAAAAAUGUGUACUAGUUCGGUAAAAGUGGAUGUCAUACUAAACUCAAAAACAUAAAUGAACUAAAAUUAAAAAACAUACAAGACUAACAAAGGCCAGAGGCUUCUAACUAGAGACAGGUGCAUAAAUACAGUGGGUUAAACAGGUUUGAGAGAUCUCAACCCACACCUAUACCUCUAGGAGCCAAUGUAGAAAAAACAAUUCACACAGUAAAACUCAUUUAAAAAGAAGUCUGUGUCCCAUGUCAGAAAAGGUAACAUAAGAAACAGACUAACUAAGCCAAAUGGCAAUAGUUUUGGUAUUUUUACAGCAGUUACAAUGCUAAAUUUCAUGGAAAAAUAAAGUAAAAAAAAGUUAAUUAAAAAAAAAAAAAUUUUUGAAUUUUACUUUAAAGAAAAUAAAAUAAAGUUUAAUUGAUUUUAUUCUUAUAUGCCCGUAUGUAAUUUUGUAUAUUUAUUUAUGUUUCAUUUCAGAGUUCACCAACAGAUGUUUAAUUCUAUAAUUUUGAUUUUUGCAGAUUGCAGCAGGGGGAUGUUACAGUCAUAGACCUUGAAUAGACUCCGUUGUACUAGACCAGGGAGGGUAGCGCAUAGUUUCCGCAGCAGCACUAUACAAUAGUAACAAGAUCACUCUACCAUGAGCUUGUUAAAGGGCCCGUUUGAUGAAAGUGACACCAACGUUCUCCAAAACACUACAGAUUUUUUUUGCAGAUGCAGCCGAGAGGAUGUUUCAGUCAUGGACCCAUUUGAUGGAAGUGACACCAACGUUCUCCAACACUAAUAAUUUACAAUUUUUUUUUGUUUUAGAUGCAACCUCAGUCAUAGACCCAGAGUAUGGCUAUGUUGUAACAGAUGAAGAAAAGUGGCAUAUAGAUUUCUGUAUGUCCAUUUCUUUGUAUAAAAGUGACAAAUUACUAAUCUUUCUUAUUUAUAUCCAUUUCAGAG